UACAGAGGGUGCGAGCGUUAAUCGGAAUUAUUGGGCGUAAAGGGCGCGUAGGUGGUUUGUUAAGUUAUAUGUGAAAGCCCCGGGCUUAACCUGGGAACUGCAUGUAAUACUGGCAGACUAGAGUACUGUAGAGGGUAGUGGAAUUUCCGGUGUAGCGGUGAAAUGCGUAGAUAUCGGAAGGAACACCAGUGGCGAAGGCGGCUACCUGGACAGAUACUGACACUGAGGCGCGAGAGCGUGGGUAGCAAACAGG
RNAcentral lists this ribosomal RNA (253 nucleotides) under uncultured bacterium. Its description in RNAcentral is "partial 16S ribosomal RNA". It matches the Rfam family "Bacterial small subunit ribosomal RNA", at positions 524 to 776 of the family's 1533-position model. The record is from RNAcentral.